CCUACGGGAGGCAGCAGUGGGGAAUAUUGCACAAUGGGGGAAACCCUGAUGCAGCGACGCCGCGUGAGUGAAGAAGUAAUUCGUUAUGUAAAGCUCUAUCAGCAGGGAAGAAUAAUGACGGUAGCUAAGGAGCAAGCCACGGCUAACUACGUGCCAGCAGCCGCGGUAAUACGUAGGUGGCAAGCGUUGUCCGGAAUUACUGGGUGUAAAGGGAGCGCAGGCGGGAAGCCAAGUCAGCUGUGAAAACUACGGGCUUAACUUGUUGACUGCAGUUGAAACUGGUUUUCUUUAGUGAAGUAGGGGGUGGGCGAAUUGCGGGGGUAGGCGGGAAAUGCGU
Molecule: ribosomal RNA, 337 nt
Filed under: uncultured bacterium
Lineage: Bacteria
Description: partial 16S ribosomal RNA
Rfam family: Bacterial small subunit ribosomal RNA
Source: RNAcentral